GCGGAGGAAAAGAAACCAACAGGGAUUGCCCCAGUAACGGCGAGUGAAGCGGCAACAGCUCAAAUUUGAAAUCUGGUCCCCUCUGGGGGCCCGAGUUGUAAUUUGAAGAGGAUGCUUUUGGCGAGGCGCCGUCCGAGUUCCCUGGAACGGGACGCCGCAGAGGGUGAGAGCCCCGUACGGUCGGACGCCGAGCCUCUGUAAAGCUCCUUCGACGAGUCGAGUAGUUUGGGAAUGCUGCUCAAAAUGGGAGGUAAACCCCUUCUAAAGCUAAAUACCGGCCAGAGACCGAUAGCGCACAAGUAGAGUGAUCGAAAGAUGAAAAGCACUUUGAAAAGAGAGUUAAAAAGCACGUGAAAUUGUUAAAAGGGAAGCGCUUGCGACCAGACUUGCGCCCGUCGGAUCAACCGUCGCUUGCGGCGGCGCACUCCGGCGGGCUCAGGCCAGCAUCAGUUCGUCUGGGGGGAGAAAGGCGGCGGGAAUGUGGCUCUUCGGAGUGUUAUAGCCCGCCGCGUAAUACCCCCGGGUGGACUGAGGACCGCGCGUAUGCAAGGAUGCUGGCGUAAUGGUCGUCAGCGACCCGUCUUGAAACACGGAC
RNAcentral lists this small RNA (595 nucleotides) under Pseudoscopulariopsis schumacheri. Its description in RNAcentral is "eukaryotic LSU rRNA". It matches the Rfam family "Eukaryotic large subunit ribosomal RNA", at positions 50 to 666 of the family's 3401-position model. Lineage: Eukaryota; Fungi; Ascomycota; Sordariomycetes; Microascales; Microascaceae. The record is from RNAcentral.